CAAAGAUUAAGCCAUGCAUGUCUCAGUACAAGCCAAAUUAAGGUGAAACCGCGAAAGGCUCAUUAAAUCAGUUAUGGUUCCUUAGAUCGUACCACACAUUUACUUGGAUAACUGUGGUAAUUCUAGAGCUAAUACAUGCAAACAGAGCUCCGACCAGAGAUGGAAGGAGUGCUUUUAUUAGAUCAAAACCAAUCGGCGGCGGUUCCGUUCGCGGUUCCGUUCGUCGCAAUGCUUGGUGAUACUGAAUAACUUUUGGCUGAUCGCACGGUCUUGCACCGGCGACGCAUCUUUCAAAUGUCUGCCUUAUCAACUGUCGAUGGUAGGUUCUGCGCCUACCAUGGUUGUAACGGGUAACGGGGAAUCAGGGUUCGAUUCCGGAGAGGGAGCCUGAGAAACGGCUACCACAUCCAAGGAAGGCAGCAGGCGCGCAAAUUACCCACUCCCGGCACGGGGAGGUAGUGACGAAAAAUAACGAUACGGGACUCAUCCGAGGCCCCGUAAUCGGAAUGAGUACACUUUAAAUCCUUUAACGAGGACCAAUUGGAGGGCAAGUCUGGUGCCAGCAGCCGCGGUAAUUCCAGCUCCAAUAGCGUAUAUUAAAGUUGUUGCGUUUAAAAAGCUCGUAGUUGAAUCUGUGUCCCGUGCUGUCGGUUCACCGCCCGCGGUGUUUAACUGGCACGUUCACGGGACGUCCUGCCGGUGGGUGUGCAUGCACCAUUGCUUCGGCAAUGCUCGUGUCAUGUACACCCGACUAAUAAAUCCUGUCGCGGUGCUCUUAAUUGAGUGUCGAGGCGGGCCGGCACGUUUACUUUGAACAAAUUAGAGUGCUCAAAGCAGGCUAAAAUUUUGCCUGAAUACUGUGUGCAUGGAAUAAUGGAACAGGACCUCGGUUCUAUUUUGUUGGUUUUCGGAACCCCGAGGUAAUGAUUAAUAGGGACAGAUGGGGGCAUUCGUAUUGCGACGUUAGAGGUGAAAUUCUUGGAUCGUCGCAAGACGGACAGAAGCGAAAGCAUUUGCCAAAAAUGUUUUCAUUAAUCAAGAACGAAAGUCAGAGGUUCGAAGGCGAUCAGAUACCGCCCUAGUUCUGACCAUAAACGAUGCCAGCUAGCGAUCCGCCGACGUUCCUCCGAUGACUCGGCGGGCAGCUUCCGGGAAACCAAAGCUUUUGGGUUCCGGGGGAAGUAUGGUUGCAAAGCUGAAACUUAAAGGAAUUGACGGAAGGGCACCACCAGGAGUGGAGCCUGCGGCUUAAUUUGACUCAACACGGGAAACCUCACCAGGCCCAGACACCGGAAGGAUUGACAGAUUGAGAGCUCUUUCUUGAUUCGGUGGGUGGUGGUGCAUGGCCGUUCUUAGUUGGUGGAGCGAUUUGUCUGGUUAAUUCCGAUAACGAACGAGACUCUAGCCUGCUAACUAGGCGUUACUUACCGGUAUCUCGAAGGCUCGCGUCUCUCGUGCACGGAACAUUGUUUUGUGCAGUUACGUUUCGGCGUGCUGUGCGGCAGUGUGGCUGUAGCGGGAGUUCGCGGUUUUUACUACCGGCGUACAAUUAAAUCUUCUUAGAGGGACAGGCGACUUCUAGUCGCACGAGAUUGAGCAAUAACAGGUCUGUGAUGCCCUUAGAUGUUCUGGGCCGCACGCGCGCUACACUGAAGGAAUCAGCGUGUCCUCCCUGGCCGAAUGGUCCGGGUAACCCGCUGAACCUCCUUCGUGCUAGGGAUUGGGGCUUGCAAUUGUUCCCCAUGAACGAGGAAUUCCCAGUAAGCGCGAGUCAUAAGCUCGCGUUGAUUACGUCCCUGCCCUUUGUACACACCGCCCGUCGCUACUACCGAUUGAAUGAUUUAGUGAGGUCUUCGGACUGGUACGCGGCAGCGUUUUAUACAUUGCCGAUGUCGCUGGGAA
This 1902-nucleotide ribosomal RNA is filed under the name Nomius pygmaeus. Its description in RNAcentral is "SSU rRNA". It matches the Rfam family "Eukaryotic small subunit ribosomal RNA". Lineage: Eukaryota; Metazoa; Arthropoda; Insecta; Coleoptera; Carabidae. The record is from RNAcentral.